RNAcentral lists this ribosomal RNA (270 nucleotides) under Inocybe laetior. Its description in RNAcentral is "partial large subunit ribosomal RNA". The record is from RNAcentral. Lineage: Eukaryota; Fungi; Basidiomycota; Agaricomycetes; Agaricales; Inocybaceae.
ACGCUUGAAGUCAGUCGCGUCGGCCAGGAAUCAGCCUUGCUUUUGCUUGGUGUACUUUCUUGUUGAUGGGUCAGCAUCAAUUUCGACCAUCGGAUAAAGUCGUUGGGAAUGUGGCAUCUUCGGAUGUGUUAUAGCCCAGCGUCGCAUACGGUGGUUGGGAUUGAGGAACUCAGCACUCCGCGAGGCCGGGUCUCUCGAGAUCACGUCCGUGCUUAGGAUGCUGGCAUAAUGGCUUUAAUCGACCCGUCUUGAAACACGGACCAAGGAGUC